RNAcentral lists this transfer RNA (72 nucleotides) under Heterocephalus glaber (naked mole-rat). It matches the Rfam family "tRNA". Rfam says of the family: Transfer RNA (tRNA) molecules are approximately 80 nucleotides in length. Their secondary structure includes four short double-helical elements and three loops (D, anti-codon, and T loops). The record is from Rfam by way of RNAcentral. Lineage: Eukaryota; Metazoa; Chordata; Mammalia; Rodentia; Bathyergidae.
UGGGAUGUGGCUCAGUGGUAGAGCACUUGCCUAGCAUGAGUGAUGCCCUGGAUUCGAUUUCCAGUACUGCAA